AUACGGAGGGUGCGAGCGUUAUCCGGAAUUACUGGGUUUAAAGGGUGCGUAGGCGGCUUUGUAAGUCAGGAGUGAAAGUUUGCGGCUCAACCGUAAAAUUGCUUCUGAUACUGCAUGGCUAGAAUUAGGAUGAGGUCAGCGGAAUGUGGCAUGUAGCGGUGAAAUGCAUAGAUAUGCCAUAGAACACCAAUUGCGAAGGCAGCUGGCUAGACCUGGAUUGACGCUGAGGCACGAAAGCGUGGGGAGCGAACAGGAUUAGAUACCCUGGUAGUCCACGCCCUAAACGAUGCUUACUCGACGUAUGGCACUAGUUGUUGUGCGUCCAAGGGAAACCGUUAAGUAAGCCACCUGGGGAGUACGACCGCAAGGUUGAA
RNAcentral lists this ribosomal RNA (374 nucleotides) under uncultured bacterium. RNAcentral's name for it is "bacterial SSU rRNA". It matches the Rfam family "Bacterial small subunit ribosomal RNA", at positions 523 to 898 of the family's 1533-position model. The record is from RNAcentral.